Molecule: long non-coding RNA, 845 nt
Organism: Acanthaster planci (crown-of-thorns starfish)
Lineage: Eukaryota; Metazoa; Echinodermata; Asteroidea; Valvatida; Acanthasteridae
Source: RefSeq, a predicted model, not a curated record
AGGCCGAGUCGUCGGCGCUAGGCAGGCACUUGGUGCAUGACGUCACUACGCGAAACUCACGCUGCCUCGAAAACCCUUUACACACAGAACACUGCAAACAACACGUGGGUGCGGUGACACACGUGCAAGUGUGAAUAUUGAGCACACGGUGGUCGCCUUAAUCCGUUUAUUUUCGUGACUUUGUGUAUCAUCAAGACAACACGUGAGAAAUUAGUCUCUGAGGAAUCGCUGGCACACCUACGUGAAAUGGAUUUCAGCAAAGAGGUUUGGCAGGGAUGCAUGAGGAAAGUCAAGGAAACGUCGAAGAGUGGCACAUUAGAGACUCAACUUUAUUAGGGCCUGGCUAGUGGACUAUACCUCCAUAUAUAUGGCCCUACUCCUAAACUAGAAACAAGUGGAGGAAGGCUCAAAGAUUGGGAUAAAGCUCCCCGGCCGUGAACAGUAUCAGCCACAUACAGGUCUGCCUUGUAAUCGAAUGCGCCCUGUACACCUACAUUACAUUGGCACACUUAGAUGCUGGACCCCACACCUGCGUACCCACCUGACAGCUGGCAAUCUGGUAAGAGAUGACUGCAACGAUGGAGACAUGUAAGUCUGGAUAUGACAUCAUGCUCAGCACACGUACAUGUAAUUGGCACCUGCUAACAAUUCUGAUUUGAUCACAAUUAGGCAGCUGAGGUGGCUUCACCCUCCACCCAUGAAAGGGAAAUAGAAGAGGGGCAGAAUUUCUUUUGGGGGAGGGGGGCUGCGUGGAGUGGAAAGUGGUGGAAGGUGUUAUGAGUUUGUUUCUGCAUUCAAUUGGGGACCCUUAACAAUAGAGGACAAUAAGGUCCCCGAUUGGCAGA